RNAcentral lists this ribosomal RNA (257 nucleotides) under uncultured bacterium. RNAcentral describes it as "partial 16S ribosomal RNA". It matches the Rfam family "Bacterial small subunit ribosomal RNA", at positions 793 to 1055 of the family's 1533-position model. The record is from RNAcentral.
GUCCACACCGUAACGAUGAUUACUAGGUGUUGGAGGAUUGACCCCUUCAGUGCCGCAGUUAACACAAUAAGUAAUCCACCUGGGGAGUACGUUCGCAAGAAUGAACUCAAAGGAAUUGACGGGGCCCGCACAAGCAGUGGAGUAUGUGGUUUAAUUCGACGCAACGCGAAGAACCUUACCAAGUCUUGACAUCCUGCGACGAUGCUGGAAACAGUAUUUCCUUCGGGACGCAGAGACAGGUGGUGCAUGGUUGUCGU